This 2570-nucleotide small RNA is filed under the name Pan troglodytes (chimpanzee). RNAcentral describes it as "retained intron". The record is from RNAcentral. Lineage: Eukaryota; Metazoa; Chordata; Mammalia; Primates; Hominidae.
AAAUAAAUAAGAAAAAUUUGCUACAAAGCAUUCCCAUCAGCUGUUUACUGUGUAGUCCUCUUACCCCCUUGAUCCUGCCCAGAAGCAAUCUAACAAUCAGCAGUCAUUUUUAUUUUUAUCAUCAGCGAUGUUCCUAAGAGCCAUAGGUGACAGUCUACCUGUAUCAGAUUUCCAGGGGAACAGAGCUAAGAAGUUCACUGGAAGUCAGAUUUUCAUACAGAAGAGGAAAAGAUUUUGUGAACUCAGUGUCCACAAUUCCCAAAUGCUAAAAGAAUUUUAGCAGUUUUCUUUGUCAUCCAUAGACGGUUUUCUUUCUUCCAGGCCUACGAGUGUCAGAGACAGCCCUCAAAUAAUAGCAGACAGGCCUUUUUUGCCUUUCAGAUGCCUUUCCCCCUCUGCGAUGGUGAUAUAAGUACUCCCAAAACACUGUUUCUACUACUCUCACGCUCUUCAUGCAGCCUGACUAUAAGAUGCGCUAUUCCACCUUUCAUCCCUGGUAUCCCAUACGGCGCUAGAUGUAAGAGAAUGUCAGUGCUCAGGAAACGUGUGAGCAAAUGAAUGAAUGAAGGAAUGAAUGAAAGGGGGAUGAGCCAUCUAAGUGCCUUAUCCCUUUUCUCACAUUGCCCCUAGAUUUGGGUACCUGGCUGAGUUUGGGGCUGGCAGCCUUCAGCACACCAAUGGCGUCAAUGGCAGGUGUGCAUGGGACAAGAACAUAUGCUGUCAUGAUUGUGCUACAGUUUCUUUAAGAACACCAGGUGACCACGCAGGCCUGGGGGGAUGACUCACACUCGUCAUGCCAAAGCCAAAGGAUCAGGCUGACCCCCCAUAAAGUCAGAUAGCACAGAGGGGAUGCCCCCAUGCCAUUUUUCCAUCUGCUUCUCUGGGAAAAGGCGAGCCAGGCAGUGGCUCUAUGACCCCUCUCCGCUCUCACUGAGUGGAGUUCAGUCCUCAACUGAGAAACCCCUACAUUUUAACAUAGUCAUACUGGCAACAACUACAACUUAGCAGGUCUUACCAGUGCUUUAUAACCAUUAUCUCAAGUAAUCCCCCCUGUCAUCACCCCAUUUUAUAGAGAAGAAAUCUCUUUGUGUUUCUCUUGGUCACUGCACUGUGAUAAGUUGAACCCAUAAUGUUAACCAAUAAAGUAGCCACACAGACAGAAGUCACGACAGGAAAUAAAUCCCUAAGGUAAAAGACAAUUCCCUGGCAAUUGUGUGAAGCAACAAUCCCUGCCCUUUACUCCUCUACCCAAGGUCUUGCUUGUUUCUUUCUAAGUUGCCUCUCUAUCUAGCUUGCAGGAUUUGAGUUGAGGGAAACACAGACUUCCAUGAGUUUGGGAACUACGAGAGAAAAGACAGACAAAGUCAAAUCUACAGCAUAUCUCUCACCUCAGGAACUGGAAGACGUAUUUUAUCUAUAUGAUGUAAAGUCUGAAAUAUACAGCUUUGGAAUCGUCCUCUGGGAAAUCGCCACUGGAGAUAUCCCGUUUCAAGGUGAAGAAUGUGAAGACUGGCUCAGCCAGUGGUGGGGUUGGGUCCCCUUCCAGUAGACCAGAAAUUCCCCAUCAGUGCUGCCCCUGGCGAUUUGUUGUUUAAUGUCGGAACUGCCUGGGCCGGUCAGUGGAAUCGUUGGAAGCUCUUGUUGUUUCCAUACUCAGAGUCCCUAGUUCUGAUGCCAGCCAUCAGCAUCCAGAGAGAUGUACGAGUACUGGAGCAAUUUUUUGAGGCUCUCAUGCUAUCAUUUCCAGGCUGUAAUUCUGAGGAGAUCCGCAAGCUGGUGUCUGUGGAGCGGGAGCAGGAGCCGCUGGGUGAAGACUGCCCUUCAGAGCUGCGGGAGAUCAUUGAUCAGUGCCGGGCCCAUGAUCCCUCUUUGCGGCCCUCCGUGGAUGAAAUCUUAAAGAAACUCUCCACCUUUUCUAAGUAGUGUAUCAAAAUCUAAACCAAGGAGUCUCUGGACAAGAAGCUGGGAGAGGCACAAACUGGACAUCUCUCUCUCUCAUAUCCUUCGGCAUUGGGUUAUCUAUGGGUGCAAGGAGUGGGCACACUUCUCUGUUAGAAAUAGAAAAUGAUUCCAGUCAUACAGGACACAUCCCACUCCAAAUGAUAUUUCCAAAAACAUACCUCUGACAGUAACUUUGAUAGAUGGUUUGCCAAAUGUAUCUUUCUGGGUAUCCGCACCUCUUGGCAAUGAAAUUUGCAGCUCCUCCCUUCCAUAAAUGAAGUCUUUUCCCCCACCAUUUGAAUCUAGGCUGGCACUGUGACUUGAUUUGAUCAAUAGAAUGUGGAAGAAGUGACUGUGUGCCGGUUCCAAGCCUAGGUUUCAAGAGGCCUUAUAAAUGUCUGUUGGAACCUUACCCAGCCAUGAACAUGUUGAGUGAGCAUGCUGGAGAAUGAGAGACCACAUGAAGCAGAAACAUGCUUUCCUAGCUGAAGUCAUACUAGACCAACCAACAUGGCAGCUAACACAUGAAUGAGGCCAAUCAAGACCAGAAGAACCACUCAAGCAGAGCCCAGCCCAAAUUGCCCAUUCACACAAUCAGGAGCUAAAUAAAUUACUGUUGUCUUAACACU